This 273-nucleotide ribosomal RNA is filed under the name uncultured Alicyclobacillus sp. RNAcentral describes it as "partial 16S ribosomal RNA". It matches the Rfam family "Bacterial small subunit ribosomal RNA", at positions 640 to 913 of the family's 1533-position model. The record is from RNAcentral. Lineage: Bacteria; Bacillati; Bacillota; Bacilli; Caryophanales; Alicyclobacillaceae.
ACUUGAGUACUGGAGAGGCAAGGGGAAUUCCACGUGUAGCGGUGAAAUGCGUAGAGAUGUGGAGGAAUACCAGUGGCGAAGGCGCCUUGCUGGACAGUGACUGACGCUGAGGCACGAAAGCGUGGGGAGCAAACAGGAUUAGAUACCCUGGUAGUCCACGCCGUAAACGAUGAGUGCUAGGUGUUGGGGGUUCAUCCCCUCAGUGCCGAAGGAAACCCAAUAAGCACUCCGCCUGGGGAGUACGGUCGCAAGACUGAAACUCAAAGGAAUUGA